GGAAUAUUGCACAAUGGGGGAAACCCUGAUGCAGCAACGCCGCGUGAGUGAAGAAGGCCCUUGGGUCGUAAAGCUCUUUAGCGAGGGAAGAAGGUUGGUACGGUGAAUAAUCGGAUCAGCUGACGGUACCUCGAGAAUAAGCACCGGCUAAUUUCGUGCCAGCAGCCGCGGUAAUACGAAAGGUGCAAGCGUUACUCGGAAUCACUGGGCGUAAAGAGCUCGUAGGCGGUUUGUCGCGUCUGCUGUGAAAACCCGAGGCUCAACCUCGGGCCUGCAGUGGGUACGGGCAGACUAGAGUGCGGUAGGGGAGACUGGAAUUCCUGGUGUAGCGGUGGAAUGCGCAGAUAUCAGGAGGAACACCGAUGGCGAAGGCAGGUCUCUGGGCCGCAACUGACGCUGAGGAGCGAAAGCAUGGGUAGC
Molecule: ribosomal RNA, 420 nt
Filed under: uncultured bacterium
Lineage: Bacteria
Description: bacterial SSU rRNA
Rfam family: Bacterial small subunit ribosomal RNA
Source: RNAcentral